This 506-nucleotide ribosomal RNA is filed under the name uncultured bacterium. RNAcentral's name for it is "partial 16S ribosomal RNA". It matches the Rfam family "Bacterial small subunit ribosomal RNA", at positions 29 to 523 of the family's 1533-position model. The record is from RNAcentral.
AGUGAACGCUGGCGGUAGGCCUAACACAUGCAAGUCGAACGGCAGCACAGGAGAGCUUGCUCUCUGGGUGGCGAGUGGCGGACGGGUGAGGAAUACAUCGGAAUCUACUUUUUCGUGGGGGAUAACGUAGGGAAACUUACGCUAAUACCGCAUACGACCUACGGGUGAAAGCAGGGGACCUUCGGGCCUUGCGCGAUUGAAUGAGCCGAUGUCGGAUUAGCUAGUUGGCGGGGUAAAGGCCCACCAAGGCGACGAUCCGUAGCUGGUCUGGGAGGAUGAUUAGCCACACGGGAACUGAGACACGGUCCAGACUCCUACGGGAGUCAGCAGUGGGGAAUAUUGGACAAUGGGCGCAAGCCUGAUCCAGCCAUACCGCGUGGGUGAAGAAGGCCUUCGGGUUGUAAAGCCCUUUUGUUGGGAAAGAAAUCCAUCUGGUUAAUACCCGGGUGGGAUGACGGUACCCAAAGAAUAAGCACCGGCUAACUUCGUGCCAGCAGCCGCCGUAA